This 253-nucleotide ribosomal RNA is filed under the name Gemmiger formicilis. Its description in RNAcentral is "partial 16S ribosomal RNA". It matches the Rfam family "Bacterial small subunit ribosomal RNA", at positions 524 to 776 of the family's 1533-position model. Lineage: Bacteria; Bacillati; Bacillota; Clostridia; Eubacteriales; Oscillospiraceae. The record is from RNAcentral.
AACGUAGGGUGCAAGCGUUGUCCGGAAUUACUGGGUGUAAAGGGAGCGCAGGCGGACCGGCAAGUUGGAAGUGAAAACUAUGGGCUCAACCCAUAAAUUGCUUUCAAAACUGCUGGCCUUGAGUAGUGCAGAGGUAGGUGGAAUUCCCGGUGUAGCGGUGGAAUGCGUAGAUAUCGGGAGGAACACCGGUGGCGAAGGCGACCUACUGGGCACCAACUGACGCUGAGGCUCGAAAGCAUGGGUAGCAAACAGG